AAACGUGACUCUAGCACCCUAAGGAGACACACUGUGUCUAAUAAAACCACUUUCUUGCAGUUCAGUGAUCUGUUUCCUCAGCUCUUCCAUCUCAACGUGGCUCAUGCGGUAAGGAGCAACCGAAAUGUGCUAGGUGCCUGGUCGUAGGUCUAUAGUGAACUCAACUUCCUUGUCCACUGGCAAUCCGGGCAGUUCGUCCGGAAACACAUCUGGAAAGUCUCGGACUACCGGAAUCUCUUGGAUACAAAUUUCCUUCUUGGGCUUGCCUAGUUAAAAAAAAUAGUAAGGUUAAAGUACUUGAAAAU
Molecule: long non-coding RNA, 305 nt
Filed under: Carica papaya (papaya)
Lineage: Eukaryota; Viridiplantae; Streptophyta; Magnoliopsida; Brassicales; Caricaceae
Description: long non-coding RNA (CPAP_LNC016149)
Source: RNAcentral